RNAcentral lists this transfer RNA (74 nucleotides) under Rhipicephalus microplus (southern cattle tick). RNAcentral's name for it is "tRNA-Lys". It matches the Rfam family "tRNA". Rfam says of the family: Transfer RNA (tRNA) molecules are approximately 80 nucleotides in length. The record is from Rfam by way of RNAcentral. Lineage: Eukaryota; Metazoa; Arthropoda; Arachnida; Ixodida; Ixodidae.
GCCCGGCUAGCUCAGUCGGUAGAGCAUGAGACUUUUAAUCUCAGGGUCGUGGGAUUCGAGCCCCACGUUGGGCG